GCGGAUGUGGCGGAAUUGGCAGACGCGCUAGACUUAGGAUCUAGUGGGUUUCCCGUGCAGGUUCAAGUCCUGUCAUCCGCA
This 81-nucleotide transfer RNA is filed under the name Dorea sp. Its description in RNAcentral is "tRNA-Leu". It matches the Rfam family "tRNA". From Rfam's summary of the family: Transfer RNA (tRNA) molecules are approximately 80 nucleotides in length. Their secondary structure includes four short double-helical elements and three loops (D, anti-codon, and T loops). The record is from RNAcentral. Lineage: Bacteria; Bacillati; Bacillota; Clostridia; Lachnospirales; Lachnospiraceae.